UACGUAGGGGGCAAGCGUUAUCCGGAUUUACUGGGUGUAAAGGGAGCGUAGACGGCAGUGCAAGUCUGGAGUGAAAGGCGGGGGCUCAACCCCCGGACUGCUCUGGAAACUGUACGGCUGGAGUGCAGGAGAGGUAAGUGGAAUUCCUAGUGUAGCGGUGAAAUGCGUAGAUAUUAGGAGGAACACCAGUGGCGAAAGCGGCUCUCUGGUCUGUAACUGACGCUGAGGUUCGAAAGCGUGGGUAGCAAACAGG
RNAcentral lists this ribosomal RNA (253 nucleotides) under uncultured bacterium. Its description in RNAcentral is "partial 16S ribosomal RNA". It matches the Rfam family "Bacterial small subunit ribosomal RNA", at positions 524 to 776 of the family's 1533-position model. The record is from RNAcentral.